RNAcentral lists this ribosomal RNA (221 nucleotides) under uncultured bacterium. RNAcentral describes it as "partial 16S ribosomal RNA". It matches the Rfam family "Bacterial small subunit ribosomal RNA", at positions 15 to 228 of the family's 1533-position model. The record is from RNAcentral.
GAUCCUGGCUCAGGACGAACGCUGGCGGCGUGCCUAAUACAUGCAAGUAGAACGCUGAAGGAGGAGCUUGCUUCUCUGGAUGAGUUGCGAACGGGUGAGUAACGCGUAGGUAACCUGCCUGGUAGUGGGGGAUAACUAUUGGAAACGAUAGCUAAUACCGCAUAAUAGCAGUUGUUGCAUGACAACUGUUUGAAAGGUGCAAUUGCAUCACUACCAGAUGG